Molecule: ribosomal RNA, 468 nt
Filed under: uncultured bacterium
Lineage: Bacteria
Description: partial 16S ribosomal RNA
Rfam family: Bacterial small subunit ribosomal RNA
Source: RNAcentral
GACGAACGCUGGCGGCGUGCUUAACACAUGCAAGUCGAACGGAAAGGCCCUGCUUUUGUGGGGUGCUCGAGUGGCGAACGGGUGAGUAACACGUGAGUAACCUGCCCUUGACUUUGGGAUAACUUCAGGAAACUGGGGCUAAUACCGGAUAGGAGCUCCUGCUGCAUGGUGGGGGUUGGAAAGUUUCGGCGGUUGGGGAUGGACUCGCGGCUUAUCAGCUUGUUGGUGGGGUAGUGGCUUACCAAGGCUUUGACGGGUAGCCGGCCUGAGAGGGUGACCGGCCACAUUGGGACUGAGAUACGGCCCAGACUCCUACGGGAGGCAGCAGUGGGGAAUAUGGCACAAUGGGCGGAAGCCUGAUGCAGCAACGCCGCGUGCGGGAUGACGGCCUUCGGGUUGUAAACCGCUUUCGCCUGUGACGAAGCGUGAGUGACGGUAAUGGGUAAAGAAGCACCGGCUAACUACGUG